RNAcentral lists this long non-coding RNA (1191 nucleotides) under Homo sapiens (human). RNAcentral describes it as "small nucleolar RNA host gene 17". The record is from RNAcentral. Lineage: Eukaryota; Metazoa; Chordata; Mammalia; Primates; Hominidae.
GUCUGUAUUUCCGCCGGCGCGAAACGAGCGUAGCUUCCUUGUCGUGUGGCCUCAGUCCUUCGCCGUCCCUCGCCGUCCUUCGCCAUCGCACGCCACCGCACCCCAUCUCUCGAAAUCUGCAGACAUCUUGAUUUUUCCCACGCUGUCUGUCAGGUCUCCGCCGCCACUCGACGCCAGGGCGCCGGGUGAGUCCACAGCAGGGCGCAUGGUCGGCUCCACUCUCACCAUCGGGGGAAACUGAGGCCCCGGGGAAGGCGGCCAGAGAGGUCAGGCCCUGUCCUUGGUGCAGUGUCUCGUCCUCUUUGCCGGAGUGAGCCCCCCAGGAUUCGCGUGUCCUCGGGAAAGACACUGGCAGGCCUUGUGGGCUGUGCUGCACCUCGGACGGCUUCGCACCAGCCAGCGCCCUCUCUCUCCUGCAGCACUCUGAUCUGCACCCCCUGAGGGGCUUCCACUGUCCGCGGGGUGAGAAUGCCCCUGGGAGUGUCACAUGACUGCCGCCCCAUGUGUGUGAGAGGCGUCCUCUGGGAGAGCAUGGAUCCUGAGGUCCCAGGAUUGUCAGCUGACCUCUGUCCUGUGUGCCCAGUGGCCCCAGGUGACGUGUCUUCAAGAAGAGGCUGAGCUGCGGUGCUUGUAAGAGUCAUGUGCUGUUCCUGGGGCUUGGAUGAUGUAGGGGAAGCAAGGUGAAAGUGGUAUCCCGUGGUUCCACGUUCUGUCCUGCUGUGGGGCUGUCCCUCACAUGCUUUCAGUGGCUGUUGCAGAGGAAGAGCCUCCGGAAAUCUGCGUGGGUCUCAGCCUUAGAUCCAAGGACAGUCCAAGGAAGUCCUAAGACCAUGGAGUUGGUGAUCUGGGAUCUGGGUUUGCUGAUAUUUCUCACCGUGAAUCUCUUGGUGGUGUUUGUGGGCACGAGAGGGGCAGAGAAUGGAGAGUGAGGCUACCACAUGAAGCGUCACCAGAGCUGCUCCCUGCUGCCUGCUCAGAGCACCCCGGAUCCACUGUUCAAUCUGCACAAGAUUCGGGGUCCAGACAUGGGAGACUUCAGCUGCCUCAGAGGACCGUGGACAGGGAAGGCCAGCCUCGCAUCCCUCUGUCCAUGCCUGGAAUGACUUUAAUAACCAAGAGUUUUAUUUUUGAAUUUGUAGCUGUCGUUCACUUUUUACCCACCCAUUCAAUAAACCUUACAGAAUUGCUCCA